GAGGAAGAAUAGAAUGAUUUGGAGGAAGAGAAGGAGAAAGUAGAGGAGUUGAAAAAAAGGAAGAAAAACAAAAAUGCAGAAUCCUCUGUCAAUCCAAUAGAACACAGCAAAAAAGCAAAGAAAGUGAAAGCAUAGAUUUGCUUGUAAGUAGAUAAUGCAUCAUGAGCAUCUUCUCUAUUGAUGAAAAUCUUUCGGUGUUGGGAUCUGUUUAUAACUGCAUCAUCACAAACAUGUGAGUAAUGCGUCGCACCACAUUAUGAUGGCCAUGAACUCACUAGGCCAUAGGAAUUUUCAGCUUCAUUAUAAUCUUAAAGCACCACUGUCAUAUAUGCAGUCCACUGUUGACUGAUUGUUACGUGGCACAUGGCUGUGCAAAGAUGAUAGCACACAUUAGCUUUCUUGAGGCUCCAGGAACUGUCCAG
RNAcentral lists this long non-coding RNA (422 nucleotides) under Pan troglodytes (chimpanzee). Its description in RNAcentral is "long non-coding RNA NONPTRT015196". Lineage: Eukaryota; Metazoa; Chordata; Mammalia; Primates; Hominidae. The record is from RNAcentral.